Non-coding RNA from Danio rerio (zebrafish), 1260 nucleotides. NCBI's taxonomy places the organism in Eukaryota, Metazoa, Chordata, Actinopteri, Cypriniformes, Danionidae. The record is from RefSeq and is a predicted model, not a curated record.
UUAUCUUUCCAUUUCUAAAGUUAUGUGACAAAUAUGGAUCAAAACAUUCAUUUUCAAAAUGGGGUGGACUCAAUUAUGCUGAGCACUGUAUAAUCAAAAUCUUAAGACCAGGUGCAAAAGGACAAGUAUUCACAUUGAUAUAUAUACUUGUUCAAAAUAAAACAAUCAUUGUGUUUGGUGAAUAAAGCUCAUUAUGUUCCUGAGAUUAAAGCCUUUUCUGAUGCUGAUGCUGACUGCAGUCCAGUAACCAUAAGACAAGAUCUGUGAUCUUUAGACAUCACAUCUCCUCCCACAUCACAAACUUGCCCAUUUGGAAUUUACAAGUGGGCAUCAAACAUGGGAUGCUGAAAGGCAGAAGAAAGUUUUAUUCUCUGAUGAGAAAAAAAUGAACUUGGACGGCCCUGAUGGCUUAGAAAAAUUACUAGGCUCCAUCAUGACGUGGGAUGCAUCUUGCUUCAAUGGGAAAAUCAGCUUCAGGUUGUGCGGAGGUGACUGGCUAUGUGGAUUUGCAUGGGGCAUCUCUCGCGUCUGUGUAUUUUUAACAGAACAACUCUGCAGUUCACAAUGCCUGCCUGACGAAGGUUAUCAUCCAGGAGAAUAUGAUCUUAAUCCCACUAAAAAAAUUCAGGAAUGGAUUGAUGGCAAGGGAAGUUUGCAAAAAAUAUCUCAAUUCUAGACCGUGGUUGCCAUUUCUGAAGCCUUCAUCACAUUGAAUCAUCAAUAUUCCCACUGACCUCCUGUCACGUCCAGCAUGCUGAAACCAAUGUUUGGUGGUUUCAAGAAGGUCAGUGAAGCUACUCAUUAUUGAUUCUUUAUUUUGGACACUUGUGUUGGGUUGUUUCUUCUUUUGCCAGUUUGAAGCAGUACUUACAACCUGGAUACCAUCCUGGAUACCAUGCCAAUUUCUGACCUGGUCUGAAGAUUUGGAUCAGGAGUGUGUCUAUAUAUACACAAUCUUAUCUUCAUCUUCCUCAGUGCCAGGAUCCUCAUCAUCUCGGCCGGCUGUGGAUCUGCUCCAGAGUGGGCUGAUACGAAGCCGUGAGCGCAGGUUGAUGACGGACAUGCUCUUGCUGCGGCUGACCCGGACCUUCAGCGCUUUCUCCAUGGCGGCUCCCUCCUCCAUCUCAUCCAGGUGAGAUCUCACGGGAGGAUCUCUGUGGAACUGAUGCCAGCCAGCUGUAAUCCACACUGGACUUGCGCCUGCGGGUCUCCAUUGCCCUCUCCUGGUGGAGACGUUCGGUGCGCUUCACCAGAGAUCCC